RNAcentral lists this ribosomal RNA (521 nucleotides) under Clostridioides difficile. RNAcentral's name for it is "bacterial SSU rRNA". It matches the Rfam family "Bacterial small subunit ribosomal RNA", at positions 1018 to 1533 of the family's 1533-position model. The record is from RNAcentral. Lineage: Bacteria; Bacillati; Bacillota; Clostridia; Peptostreptococcales; Peptostreptococcaceae.
UUCGGGGACAUUGGUGACAGGUGGUGCAUGGUUGUCGUCAGCUCGUGUCGUGAGAUGUUGGGUUAAGUCCCGCAACGAGCGCAACCCUUGUCUUUAGUUGCCAUCAUUAAGUUGGGCACUCUAGAGAGACUGCCAGGGAUAACCUGGAGGAAGGUGGGGAUGACGUCAAAUCAUCAUGCCCCUUAUGCUUAGGGCUACACACGUGCUACAAUGGGUAGUACAGAGGGUUGCCAAGCCGUAAGGUGGAGCUAAUCCCUUAAAGCUACUCUCAGUUCGGAUUGUAGGCUGAAACUCGCCUACAUGAAGCUGGAGUUACUAGUAAUCGCAGAUCAGAAUGCUGCGGUGAAUGCGUUCCCGGGUCUUGUACACACCGCCCGUCACACCACGGGAGUUGGAGACGCCCGAAGCCGAUUAUCUAACCUUGUGGAAGAAGUCGUCGAAGGUGGAAUCAAUAACUGGGGUGAAGUCGUAACAAGGUAGCCGUAUCGGAAGGUGCGGCUGGAUCACCUCCUUUCUAAGGA